GAUGAACGCUAGCUACAGGCUUAACACAUGCAAGUCGAGGGGUAACAAGAGGAAAGCUUGCUUUUCUUGUUGUCGACCGGCGCACGGGUGAGUAACGCGUAUCCAACCUGCCCCCAACUAGGGAAUAACCUUGCGAAAGUAAGACUAAUACCCUAUAAUUUCCUCAGAUGACAUCUGACGAGGAAUAAAGAUUUAUCGGUUGUGGAUGGGGAUGCGUCUGAUUAGCUUGUUGGCGGGGUAACGGCCCACCAAGGCAACGAUCAGUAGGGGUUCUGAGAGGAAGGUCCCCCACAUUGGAACUGAGACACGGUCCAAACUCCUACGGGAGGCAGCAGUGAGGAAUAUUGGUCAAUGGGCGGAAGCCUGGACCAGCCAAGUAGCGUGCAGGAUGACGGCCCUAUGGGUUGUAAACUGCUUUUAUACAGGAAUAAAGUUAGCCACGUGUGGUUAUUUGUAGGUACUGUAUGAAUAAGGACCGGCUAAUUCCGUGCCAGCAGCCGCCGUAA
RNAcentral lists this ribosomal RNA (506 nucleotides) under uncultured bacterium. RNAcentral's name for it is "partial 16S ribosomal RNA". It matches the Rfam family "Bacterial small subunit ribosomal RNA", at positions 28 to 523 of the family's 1533-position model. The record is from RNAcentral.